GACGAACGCUGGCGGCGUGCUUAACACAUGCAAGUCGAACGGAAAGGCCCUGCUUUUGUGGGGUGCUCGAGUGGCGAACGGGUGAGUAACACGUGAGUAACCUGCCCUUGACUUUGGGAUAACUUCAGGAAACUGGGGCUAAUACCGGAUAGGAGCUCCUGCUGCAUGGUGGGGGUUGGAAAGUUUCGGCGGUUGGGGAUGGACGCGCGGCUUAUCAGCUUGUUGGUGGGGUAGUGGCUUACCAAGGCUUUGACGGGUAGCCGGCCUGAGAGGGUGACCGGCCACAUUGGGACUGGGAUACGGCCCAGACUCCUACGGGAGGCAGCAGUGGGGAAUAUUGCACAAUGGGCGGAAGCCUGAUGCAGCAACGCCGCGUGCGGGAUGACGGCCUUCGGGUUGUAAACCGCUUUCGCCUGUGACGAAGCGUGAGUGACGGUAAUGGGUAAAGAAGCACCGGCUAACUACGUG
This 468-nucleotide ribosomal RNA is filed under the name uncultured bacterium. RNAcentral describes it as "partial 16S ribosomal RNA". It matches the Rfam family "Bacterial small subunit ribosomal RNA", at positions 28 to 507 of the family's 1533-position model. The record is from RNAcentral.